UUUUUUACCAAAAAACCUCAAUCCAUGUUUUCCCUUUCCUUCUUUCUCCUCUACCUUUUUGCAUCAUCUUCAUCCUCUGAAAAAACCAUAUCUAUUAACUUCAAAGAGAGAGGGAGGAGGAUAAGUUUGCAAAAAGCCAUUUCUACUUUCCAUCUGUAUCGUGUCUUCCACUUUCUUCACUCGUUAGCUUCCAUUAAAGCCGUUUAUUCAAGCUUAUCAUUGUUUAAAGGUGCAACCUUUAAGCUUUUUUAUGUAAACUUUUGUGUUGGGGUUUUUUAGGCUCGAUAAAAUGGCAUCAAGUUUUCAUGAAUGGGAAUCUGACCCUUUAUUCUCAGCUGCUGAAGUAGUUCAAGACUCUUCUGACAGGCUCUAGUUCGGUUCGAGUUAUUUUGUUCUUUUGAAGUCUCGUUCAAAGCGAACAUCCUGACCCAAGAUUCCUUUCGUCGAUAGAAUAUCAUAAGCGUGAUCUUGCAACCGUACUUGGAACUGCGAAAUGGCAGUUGGAAGAUUUUGAAAGAGCUGCUAACUCAUCGAUCAUAGGAAACAAAUCUCAAACCAGAGAAGAUGUCAUUUCCGGACAUAGGCAGUUUAUUAUGGCCAUUAGGGAACAUAUAAAUGAAGUGGAGAAAGGUGUAAAGGGCCCUUCAAUGGGUGAUUCCAUGAGAAAUGACCAUGAAAGAGAUUUAUUAGCAUCAUUUCUUACAGGAGGAAAUCCCAAAGAACAUUUAAAUCAUUAUGAAAUGGAAGAAAGUAGCUCUUUGAGAAGAUUCCUUGAUCCAAACUUGUCCAAACUUGGGUUCUAGUUUAACGGAUAAUGAAAUUGUUGAACAUGACAGCAGAGAAUUUUAGAGGGUAAGAAUUAAUGGAGUUGGGCAUGCUGAGCAUUAUCUUGACUCUGCAAAUGAAGAUAAAAGAAAUAUUGGUUCGCAUUACACCACCAGAAUAGGCUCAGAUAUGAUGAACUCUCUGCCAGAGAACUCUCAUGAAAGGCAUGGUGGUGGUGAUCACUGGGACCUAGAAGCCAAUGAAGCCAAAUCUAGGAGCUUCUUCCAUGAGAUCAAGUCAAGAGCGACAUACAGCAUUAUGUUCUUCUUUGGUUUCUUGAUCAAUCUAUGGUCUACCCAUAGGAACAGAAUUGCAAGGAACUAUACAAAGAGGUUGAAAGAUGGAGAGAAAAAUAGGCAUUCGCCUACUUACACUGAAUCUUCUCAUUCUGCACAGGUCCAGCGUCUAGGACUAAUGUUAGGAUCUGGAUACAGAAGCUUCCAGGGAAUAUGCUUUAGGUUGCAAUCAGAAGUAAUGCUCCUGGGUAGCUACCUUGGUGCAAGAUAUCAAAGAUUUCUCUUUAGUUUUGAGUUUAAUCGACAUUCAAUGAAAAUUAUAUUGACAGCCAUUCUUACCCUCAUAUUUUUGGGUAUAUUGGUGUCCAGAAUUGCUUGAAGACAGUCAUUUGCUGCUAAUAGUCUGCGAACAGUUGAAUGUCCUGACCAUCAAAUAUUGCAUGGUCGCAAAUACAAUUUUAUGUCUUGCUGACCGAAAUGUGCAACUGGUAAUGAUUGUUGAAAAGAUUUCUGUUGGAGCCCGGACAAUUGGAUAACUUGUUGUUUGCGACAACCCAACCUUUAAAGAAUUAUUUAAAGUCGAAGAAGAACAGAUCUUCAGGUAAUAAAUUUCCAAACAACGCUAGAUUUGUUUAAUAGAAUUCUAGGGAUUCAUGAAUAAUUUUGUUUUAUUGUUUCUGUUGCGUGUAUGAUAUUCGAAAAACCCAACAAUUAUAUCAUCAGGAAGGGAAGGCUUUAUUGAGUACUGUAACUAAUUCAAUCAUUGAAGUAUUUAAAAAACUCAUAUAAACAAAAAAUCUCAAAUAGCCUUGAUCAUGAGACAUAAUUGUCACUAUAAACAAGAACCAAAAUUCCAACCGUAGUAAUUAAUAUUAACAAAAUAGAAGUAAGUGGGUCAAUCAAGGGCCCGAACUCUUAAAGAAAAAUCAUUGUUGAUGGUCCAAGACCAUAUAUAUUGAUAAAUUCCUUGAUAAAUGGAAUUGCUAUUUAUUUGAUGAAUAAAUAGAUAGGUCGAAAAAACCAUAACUAUACUUAACAAUAAAACACUGGGAAAAGCCUAUAUUGCGUCUUUUGUUGAUUAGGUGAUGCCCGGAUUUGAACUAGGAAAAAAGGAUUUGUAGUCCCCCGCCUUACCACUCAGCCAUGUCGCCAAGGCAAUUGAAAUAAAAUAUAGAUGAAAAUACCACCUUCUUUUUUUUCUUACUAAACUUUUUUUUUUUUUGUACUUGCUUGACCAAUCUUAUAGUGUGUUUGACAGUGUGGUUGCGGGUGCUUUUCAAAUAGCUUUUCGUGCCGAAAUACAUGCCAAUGAUGUUUUUUUAUUUUUUAAAAAUUAUUUUUGACAUCAACACAUCAAAACGAUUCAAAAAGUACAAACCGUACUUAAUUUUAGCAAAAAAAAAUAAUUAAAUUUUGAUGAAACGCAGUUACAAACGCAAUGCCAAACGGUGUGUUAGUAUUCUAGAGUCGGCAUGUACAAUUAAAACUUGACCUCAUUUUAGGCAUGGUCUGUGUUUUUAAUUAUUGUGUUUCUUCACAAUAAUUAUGAUGAUAAUUAUGAAUUUUUAGGGUUUUAAUUUUUUUAGCUGCCACCUAGAACAGCUGCUCUUUCUUUCCCUCAAUUUUUUCCCUCUGAAACAAAAGUCACUCAUGCUAUCAAGCCUCCUCCUUUCACUGUCAAACUCCUCCAUUAGCCCACAGCAGCUCCAUCUUCCACCCAUGACAGCCACCAUAAGAUAGCCCUCCCUGAACUCCUCUACCAAUAGCCAUAGCAGCUACUGAAACCAACACCACCAAUUGCUACUUCCAUUAGCCUCUCAACAGCCACGGUUCGGCCUCUUUACCACACCAAAGGUCAUUUAUCUUCCUCUCCCAGCCACGGUUUUCACCACCAUAAACCACCUUCCAACUGUAAUCUGCACUAGUACAGUAAUUGUGACCAUCAGUCCAGCCACUCCUCCAUUUGUCCAUCUCCUUUUCUCCUCAAUCCCACCGGGACUACCAUUGACAGCCAAGACCAUCUUCUUCCCUCUUCCCCGUGACAGCCUCCAUAACAGUAUCAGCAUCACAACAGCCCACAAACAAACUCAACCUUAACCCAGCACCGCCAUUCUUCCUCUCGUGACCAACCACUGAUUUCAACCGACCUCCUAACUACCACGUGAUGAACAGUAGCAAAAUCAGUAGAGAGAGACGAAACCAAGAAAAAGAAACGAACUCGUGAGGAAGAAAAGAGAGGCAAAUCUGGAGAGAAAUAAAAACAAUUGUUUUGUGUUGAUUUUCUUGUUUCGUAGGUGGCGGUAGCUUUCACCUCCAGCACAGGAAGAAAGAACAAGAAGGCAUUUCAGAUCCACACAUUUUUCCAUUUCACCGGUGACGGUGGCAUGUGAGACCUACACAGCGUUACUGCUCCCCCGUAUUCAUUGCAUUCCAGCAGCUUCUCUGACUACUUGGACCCUGUCCAAAAGGUGUUCUGCAAAUUCUGGGAUGAUUUUGUCAUGUGUAAACUUGUGUAAUUUUUGGGUGUGUGAGUUAAUUAGUAAAAGAGAUGGGUGUGUGUUGCAUGGUUUUA
Molecule: RNA transcript, 3633 nt
Organism: Populus nigra (black poplar)
Lineage: Eukaryota; Viridiplantae; Streptophyta; Magnoliopsida; Malpighiales; Salicaceae
Exons: 6
Source: RefSeq, a predicted model, not a curated record